This 1870-nucleotide long non-coding RNA is filed under the name Mus musculus (house mouse). RNAcentral's name for it is "long non-coding RNA chr8:107455455-107457325". Lineage: Eukaryota; Metazoa; Chordata; Mammalia; Rodentia; Muridae. The record is from RNAcentral.
AGCUAGCCUUGAUGUACGUGCAAAGCGGUACAUUUUCCACUUAGGUCUCAUGUCUGUGACAAACCUCUAUUCUCAGCCCCAUCCCUGUUGCUUGUUAGCCCUAAAUGUUUUUUGUUUUGUUUCUUGAUUUCUCCCUACUGUAGCUUUUGGGUUUUGGAGUAGUUACUGCUUCAUAGAACCCAGGGGGUGACUGUUGUUUGUCAAGUUGUAGACCUUUGUAGGACUUGUCACCUCCCCAAAGGAUCUGGGAAGGGGCUUUACUUCCUCAAUAGAAGGGACUGCAGGGGAGGUUAGGCUUGUUACUGGGGGUGAGGAACACCAGUUAUAGCCUCUGCCUUGGGCACAGGGUGGACAUGUAGAUGUGUUCCCUCUGAUAGACCUGCCUUUCCCACUAUGGGUCAUGAAUGCUAUGGGAUAGGUGUCCCAUGGAAGAUGGUGUUUGUUGUCUUUACGCUCCAUGGAUUUGUACCAGUCUGUUGGUGAUAAAUGACUAUGACAAGUGCUGCUGUGUGCUAGGAAUAGUGACGUAUGUCUGUAAUCUCAGUGCCAGGGAGACAGAGGCCAUUUAUGGCUGAGUAGUAGGUUCAAGUCAGCCUGUGCUGUAACAGUGAGGUGCUGCUAUUUACAACCAGGAAAGAAACCAGACUAAACCAAAACGAGAGCAGAGACAGAGACAGAGACAGACAGACAGGCAGACAGGCAGACCCACAGACAGACACACAUGAGGGCUGUAAACAGAACAGGCUACAGUGGCUGACCACCAUAGAGUGUGUUCAGCCUUAUUGCUACAUGAAGAAGAGCCGCAGAACAAAUAAGCAGAGCCCAGGAAUAGUAUACAGCUGGGAUGGAGUCAGGUUGCUGGGGCACGUGCUGGGGCAGAGCUCCCUCUAUAUAAUUGGCGUGAGCCUCCCUCCCCCAUACACUCUGGCCAGCCUGACCUAGAACUCACUCUGUAGUCAGAUGAUUCAUUUAUUCCAGUCUCUCCAGUCAGUGGGAUUACAGGCAUGAGGGACUUUGCCUGGCUUUUUUGUUUCGAUUUUUGUGACUAGCUCUGUCCGGCCUGAAACGCCUUGUGUAGACCAGGCCAGCCUUGAACCUGCAGCACUCCUGUUCUUCCUCAGCUGCUGGGAUUGCAGGCGUAUGUCCCCAUCCCAGCCUUGUUUCCUCCUGGGUACAGUCAGGGAGACAGGAUAUUCCCGCUUCAUGAGUUGGGGGCUCCAUAUGAUGUGUGCCUUGCAGCGUCCGCGGUAACUCUUGAUUGAGACUUAGUGAUUGAUUUUAUUUCUAAAAAAAUGGUUUGCCAAAAGUGAGGAAGCAGCACUGCACUUUGCAGUGUGGCCAAAUGGAGAUGCUCAGAGGCAGUGCAGGGAGUCCCCGAGGGUGUCCAGAACCCCGAAGACGACGCUCCCAAACCUUAAAGGAGGCUCAGCUGCUCUGAGGAGCCCCGCUUGUGCUGACUGUCCCAGAGCAAAGGACUAUAAGCCGUCAUCUCAGCAGUGUAAAAAGUUAGCAGAGCCGUGCAGCGGACUUUGUGACAGUCAUUUAAAAGUUGAUUUGGGGGACUGGGGAACAGGCCAGUGAGCAAAGCACUUUGCUAUCUCAUGUGCUUUUGGGUUGGGAGCGAUCUUUCUCCCUUCAUAGUUCAGACUCUUGUACACACAUGCUUUUUUUGCUUCUUUGUUUAGUUUAUACCCCUUUUUAUUUCUUGUUCAAAAACAUUCAUUUUGUACGUAUGUGUUUGUGUGCACAUGAUAUUUUGGUCAGUGGUCAACCUUGGGUGUCAUUCCUCAGGCACGAGCUAUCACCAUGUCAGUUUUCAAAAGUUUUAAUUUUUUUUUUUAAAAGAGGACAAACCAAACCAAACCAAACC